GGAUAAGCUUCAUAGUCGAGAGGGAAACAGCCCAGAUCGCCGGUUAAGGCCCCUAAGGGUGUGCUAAGUGGAAAAGGAUGUGGGAUCGCGAAGACAGCCAGGAGGUUGGCUUAGAAGCAGCCAUCCUUGAAAGAGUGCGUAAUAGCUCACUGGUCGAGUGGUUCUGCGCCGACAAUGUAGUGGGGCUCAAGCACACCGCCGAAGCCGCGGCAUAGUUUUUACUAUGGGUAGGGGAGCGUCGUGUGUGGGGUGAAGCCGUAUCGGAAGAAGCGGUGGACUGCACGCGAGUGAGAAUGCAGGCAUGAGUAACGAAUGAUACGUGAGAAUCGUAUCCGCCGAAUGACUAAGGGUUCCUGGGUCAAGUUCGUCUUCCCAGGGUGAGUCGGGUCCUAAGGCGAGGCCGACAGGCGUAGUCGAUGGUCAACGGGUUGAUAUUCCCGUACCCGUAUAUACGCGCCCAGUAUCGAAGCGGUGAUACUAACCACCCA
RNAcentral lists this ribosomal RNA (488 nucleotides) under Corynebacterium sp. HMSC034B08. RNAcentral's name for it is "bacterial LSU rRNA". It matches the Rfam family "Bacterial large subunit ribosomal RNA", at positions 996 to 1485 of the family's 2925-position model. The record is from RNAcentral. Lineage: Bacteria; Bacillati; Actinomycetota; Actinomycetes; Mycobacteriales; Corynebacteriaceae.